Non-coding RNA from Oryza nivara, 184 nucleotides. The record is from Rfam. NCBI's taxonomy places the organism in Eukaryota, Viridiplantae, Streptophyta, Magnoliopsida, Poales, Poaceae.
UUUAAGUGCAAUUAUGAGUUUCCGCACCCAACUUUGAUUGCCCGUCUUAUUUAAAUUUUUUUAUAAUUACUAUAUUUGUUGUUAUGAGAUGAUAAAAUAUGAAUAAUACUUUACUCGUGACUUAUGUUUUUAAACAGGACGGACGAUCAAAGUUUGGACAUGGAAAAAAAUGGCUGCACUUAAA